Molecule: ribosomal RNA, 138 nt
Filed under: uncultured bacterium
Lineage: Bacteria
Description: partial 16S ribosomal RNA
Rfam family: Bacterial small subunit ribosomal RNA
Source: RNAcentral
UAAGGGAUAUUGGUCAAUGGGGGGAAACCCUGAACCAGCAACGCCGCGUGAGGGAAGACGGUUUUCGGAUUGUAAACCUCUGUCCUCUGUGAAGAUGAUGACGGUAGCAGAGGAGGAAGCUCCGGCUAACUACGUGCC